UGCCCCUCACUUGCCAAUACGUCUAGAUCAGCCAGGGCGUCGGCAUGUGUAGCGUAUUAUGUUGGGCUCUCUCGAGAUAAGGAUACGAUGUCCCUUUAUCGGUUGGUUUCCUGUGUGCGCGGCCCGUUCGUUUUUUUGUUACUUUCGCAUCGUUCGGUGCAUUCUGGGGGCUGUGUUGGCUUUUGGUGGCUUGCUUGGCCUUAUGGCUUUGCUUGUUGCUACUUGUCGGGCUGCUUUCGGGAAUGUCGACCGUGGAGGUGCAUGAGUGGUGUUUGGUUUGUUACGUGUGGAUGGCUGUUUGCUUGUGCAACAACGUUCACGCUGCAUACCUCUUCAGUUUUGCGGCAAGGCUUGGUUUGGCUUGUGCAUAUUGUGGGUUUCCUGUGUUGCAUACCUAGUUGAUGGAAAAGUGUGGGUUUUACGAUUUUCAUUUUCGUCUUGCGUCGUUCUUUUGGCGUGGGAUGAACAAUGAAGCGAUCUUUAUGAUCCAUCGUGCUGUUGCGUUUGCAACAAUGAUGUGGCCUACGAAGCAUCGUUUGGUCUCUUGUAUACGGAAGCUCAUUUGGGCUUGGGUCUUUAUAAGAUCUUCGUUAUGCCCUUGUUAAGCGUUCUCGCUUCUCCUAAACGAUUG
RNAcentral lists this unclassified non-coding RNA (631 nucleotides) under Centaurea argecillensis. Its description in RNAcentral is "partial external transcribed spacer". Lineage: Eukaryota; Viridiplantae; Streptophyta; Magnoliopsida; Asterales; Asteraceae. The record is from RNAcentral.